RNAcentral lists this ribosomal RNA (223 nucleotides) under Pseudoalteromonas sp. FRA000025. RNAcentral's name for it is "partial 16S rRNA". It matches the Rfam family "Bacterial small subunit ribosomal RNA", at positions 92 to 324 of the family's 1533-position model. The record is from RNAcentral. Lineage: Bacteria; Pseudomonadati; Pseudomonadota; Gammaproteobacteria; Alteromonadales; Pseudoalteromonadaceae.
CGAGCGGCGGACGGGUGAGUAAUGCUUGGGAACAUGCCUUGNGGUGGGGGACAACAGUUGGANACGNCUGCUAAUNCCGCAUAAUGUCUACGGACCAAAGGGGGCUUCGGCUCUCGCCUUUAGAUUGGCCCAAGUGGGAUUAGCUAGUUGGUGAGGUAAUGGCUCACCAAGGCGACGAUCCCUAGCUGGUUUGAGAGGAUGAUCAGCCACACUGGGACUGAGA